Molecule: long non-coding RNA, 7591 nt
Filed under: Lactuca sativa (garden lettuce)
Lineage: Eukaryota; Viridiplantae; Streptophyta; Magnoliopsida; Asterales; Asteraceae
Description: long non-coding RNA (LSAT_LNC008025)
Source: RNAcentral
CCCCACAUGGUUGCCUUUAGGACAUUUAUUGCUGAGGAAUCCCCUUAGCAGUAGUGUCCGUCCCGAUGAUGAUCCUUAGGCUAGGUCCCUUAUGAUAGGUGUUUAGGGACGUAAAGUGAGGAUAACGGGAACGGGUAAUCGGGUUAUUGUUGAUUGAUGAAAUUAAUAAACUUAUUUAUUGUGGGUUGAAAACCCUAUGUGCUCACCAGGCUCCCAAGCCUGACCCACUCAGUUUUAUGUAUUACAGGUAGUGGCGCAUGAGCAUAGAUGUGAUGUUUUGGACGAGGGAUUACGGAUAUAGGCCUGUAGAUAUGAAAUAAUGUAGUAAGGCUUAUAUUGUACUGUUUAUGCUUUUGAUCUGUACGAACAUGACAUCCCAAGUCUUUUAAUGAAAUACAUUUCUAUGGAAAUGCUUUUGAUAAAUCUUUAUCAUAUUUUUGUUUUGGGACAAAUUCCGCAACACUUUCAUUUAAAAUGUAACUCUGAUUUUUAAACAAAGCAUAAACAAACCGGUCUUUUCUGGCCGUGAUUUUGGGGAUGUCACAGUUGGUAUCAGAGCAUUAGUUUAAGCGAACUAGGAAUUUGUAGGAUUUCUAGACUUAAACUUAGAAUGCUAAGCGAUGAUUGUGAGGUGUGAGCACUAGCUUAUUUUAGGAAUUGUGCCUAAAAUGCUUUUAUGUGCUAAAUGCUUUGUGCAUAAUAUGCUGUUAAUUGUUCGGAUCUAUGGUCUGUUGCCGACCGGAUCUGGAAACCUUAUGUGUUUAGGAUUCUAAACGUACGACUACGAUAUUAGAACUAGCAUGUAAACGUUUCGGAGUGAUAAGGACGAUUUAAACGUCUAUCCUAAAUAAAGAUCUAAAUUCACCUUAUUCGGUGUAUAGAUCAAGAUGGCAAGGACCCGUAGCGGAAACGUGAACGCAAAUGGAGAUAGGAACCAACCCCCAGUGGUUCAGCAAAUACCUGUUGUUGAAGAAGUUGCACCUGAGCCAGUCACCAUGGCUGGAGUUCAAGCCAUGAUUCAGGCUAUGCUAGCUGAACAAAGGGAAGAAAUGAGACGGAUGCUCCACGAAAAUAGGGACGAACCUACCAUACAUGUUGAACCGACGGAGCCAGUUCCCGAGCCAUCUGAGGAAGGGAACUAUAGCCGCCAAGUGAGUCAAGUAGGGACUCAAGGUGAGCAAAAGGAUGGCCCAGAAGGGAGAAACAACAAGGAUGGGCGGAUGUACAAAAAUUUCUUGGGUGCGAAACCACCAAGUCUCUCAGGAAGCCCAAAGCCUGUUGAGAUUAUGGACUGGAUCUCCGAGAUGGAGAUGGUGUUUGAGAGCUGCGACUGCAGCGAGAAGCAGAAGACUGUCUUCGCUGUGAGACAAUUGAAAACUGGAGUCUUGAGCUGGUGGAAGCUAUUGGCAGAUACAAUGCCACGGGGAGAAGCUCUGAAAAUGUCAUGGGAUGAGUUCUUGGAACAACUGAAGGCGCAGUACUGUUCAGAGAUAGACCUGAUUGAUCUGAACAAUGAGUUCCAAAAUUUGAAGAAGGGGAGAAUGAGCAUCGAUGACUAUGCUGCUGCAUUUACGGAAAAGAUGAAGUUGUUUCCAUACCUAGUGCCAACCGAACUUUCCAAAAUUGAGAAAUUCGCAAACGGACUGCCGGCUGACUUUGGCCCAACAGUCAAGAUGGCAACCACUCUGAAAUCAGCUGUUCGAGCAGCUAAGAACGUGGAGACCCAACAAAAGGAAAGAGGUCUGGAGAGGGCUGAGGUUGGUGAGAAACGGAAGUUCAAUGGAUCCUCGAAGUCCAACAAGAAGAGUAGAUUCUCGAAGUCUGGUUCGAGGGGAGGAGGAUCAGAAGCGAAGUGGUGUGACAAGUGCAAGAAGAAGCACUCUGGGAAGUGUGACGGAGGGGUCACUUGUUACAAGUGCGGAAAGCCUGGGCACUACGCCAAUGAAUGCACCCUCAACCAGAAAGCCUGUUAUGGGUGCAAUGAAGAAGGGCACAUUUUGAAGGACUGCCCGAAGAAGAAGGAGACAGGAAGACCCAACAUACCACCGAAGCCGAAGGCGAGAGCCUUCCAGAUGACGCUCGAGGCUGCAAAGGAGGCAGCAGACGUCGCUUCAGGUACCUUUCUUGUAAAUGGUUUGCCUGCAAAUAUACUAUUUGAUUCCGGAGCCAACUACUCCUUUGUGUCGCAUAAAUUUGGUGGGAAAUUAGCAUUGCCUGUAGAAAAACUAGAUAAUGCCCUGAUUGUAGAAGUUGCCAGUGGCAAAUUCGUACCUGUUAGUAAUCGUAUUAGGAACAUCGUCAUUGACCUAAACGGAAACGAAUUCCACGAAGAGCUAUUACCCAUAGAGUUAAACGGUUUCGACAUCGUUUUGGGUAUGGAUUGGCUUAGCGCCAACGAUGCUGAGAUUCAAUGCCGAAAGAAGAUAGUAAAGGUAAACCCACCCGGAAAAGAAUCAUUUAUGGUGUAUGGGGACAAACGCAGAGUGAAUUCUGGAAUCAUCUCCCUGAUGAAAGCCAGGAAAUGUUUGUCCAAAGGAUGUGCAUCAUACUUGGCAUUCGUAAUCGAUGCCAAGAAGGAGAAGAAAGAGGUGCAGAAUAUACCGGUUGUGUGUGAUUAUCCGGAAGUCUUUCCCGAAGAUCUUCCCGGAUUACCACCUGAUAGGCAAGUGGAGUUUCGUAUAGACUUGUUACCAGGAACAACACCGAUAGCAAAGGCACCUUACCGAUUAGCACCGACGGAGAUGAAGGAGCUCAUGACGCAACUUCAGGAGCUGUUGGACAACGGUUUUAUUCGACCUAGUUCAUCACCCUGGGGAGCUCCGGUGUUAUUCGUGAAGAAGAAGGACGGAAGUAUGAGAAUGUGUAUAGACUACCGAGAGCUGAAUAAGGCAACGGUGAAGAACAAGUAUCCAUUGCCGAGGAUUGAUGACCUAUUCGAUCAGCUGCAAGGUUCGAGCUACUUCUCAAAGAUCGAUCUUAGGUCAGGAUAUCAUCAGCUAAAGGUGAGAAAGCAGGAUAUUGAGAAGACUGCAUUCAGAACGAGAUAUGGACACUACGAGUUCUUGGUUAUGUCAUUCGGGCUAACCAAUGCUCCCGCAGCAUUCAUGGAUUUGAUGAAUAGGGUUUGUAAACCAUUCCUCGAUAAAUCCGUGAUAGUGUUCAUCGACGACAUUCUCAUCUACUCGAAAAGCCAAGAGGAGCAUGGCAAGCAUCUACGGGAAGUAUUAGAAGUGUUGAAGAAGGAGAAGCUUUUUGCAAAGUUCUCCAAAUGCGACUUUUGGAUACGGGAAGUCCAAUUCUUGGGUCAUGUUGUUAACCAGGAGGGAAUAAUGGUUGACCCCGCAAAGAUCGAGGCUGUAAUGAAGUGGGAACGUCCAAAGAGUCCCACGGAGAUUCGAAGCUUUCUAGGAUUAGCCGGAUAUUAUCGACGAUUUAUCCAAGGCUUUUCUUCGAUAGCUGCUCCAUUAACAGCUUUGACUCAUAAAGGAGCUACGUAUACGUGGAGUGAGAAACACGAUGAGGCAUUCGAGAAGCUAAAGAAGAAGUUAUGUGAAGCACCGAUACUUUCUCUACCCGAUGGAGUCGAAGAUUUCGCGGUUUAUAGUGACGCUUCUGGAGUCGGGUUGGGUUGUGUUCUGACCCAAAGAGAAAAGGUGAUAGCAUACGCAUCUCGACAAUUGAAAGAGCACGAAAAGAACUACCCCACUCAUGAUCUGGAGUUGGCAGCGGUAGUUUUUGCCUUAAAGAUAUGGAGGCAUUACCUCUACGGCACGAAGUGCAAGCUCUUCACUGAUCAUAAGAGUCUCCAGUAUCUCUUUAAUCAGAAGGAGUUGAACAUGAGGCAACGACGCUGGCUAGAACUUCUCAAGGACUACGACUGUGAGAUACUUUACCACCCAGGUAAAGCAAAUAUUGUUGCUGAUGCUCUCAGUCGGAAAGUCAAUCUGGAAAGGAAAAGGCCAAGAGCGUUAAGAAUUGAAGUCGUCUCGACGAUUGUGGAAAGUAUCAGGAAAGCUCAAGAAGAAGCUUUAGAGAAAAAUGACCGAAAGGAAGAACGUUUGGGAAGAACGUUAGUGUUUGGUACAAACAGUCGAGGACUGAAGGUAUUCCAAGAUCGAAUUUGGGUACCUAAGACGGGAGGAAUAAGAGAUCUUCUGAUGGAAGAAGCACACAAGACCAUGUACUCGAUUCAUCCCGGUAGCACUAAAAUGUAUAGGGACCUAAAACCCUACUACUGGUGGCCGACGAUGAAGCUCGAUGUUGCGAAGUAUGUGGCCGAGUGCGUAACAUGUGCGAGGGUUAAGGCACAACAUCAGAAACCGUAUGGGAGUUUAGAACCUUUACCUGUACCCAUGGGUAAAUGGGAAGACAUCACCAUGGAUUUUGUGACUAAACUGCCCAGGACGAAGAACGGUCACGACAUGAUUUGGGUAGUCGUGGAUCGUUUCACCAAGAGUGCACACUUCAUAGCAGCCAACGAGAAGUGGUCUAUGGAUAAGCUCGCAAAUGCUUACGUGAAGGAAAUUGUAAGACUUCACGGUGUCCCUCUUACGAUUGUAUCAGAUCGUGAUAGUCGUUUCACGUCAAGGUUUUGGAGGAGUCUACAAGAGGAGUUAGGUACAAAGUUGUGUUUGAGUACUGCUUAUCAUCCGCAAACUGAUGGUCAGAGCGAAAGAACGAUUCAGACGCUGGAAGAUAUGCUGAGAGCAUGUACCCUCGAAUUCCAAGGGAAUUGGGACGAGCACUUACCUCUGGUAGAAUUUUCCUACAACAAUAGUUUUCACUCGAGCAUCAAGAUGGCUCCUUAUCAAGCCUUGUAUGGGCAGAAGUGUCGUACGCCGUCUUGUUGGCUUGAAGCCGGAGAGAAGCAGUUUAUGGGCCCCGAGAUAGUCCAUGAGACUGCUGAGAAGUUGAAGGUGAUUAGGGAAAGGAUGUUAGCAGCCCAGGAUCGUCAGAAGAGCUAUGCUGACAAGAAAAGACGACCGAUAACUUUCGAAGUUGGGGAUUCCGUUUUGCUUAAAGUCUCACCGUGGAAGGGACUUAUACGAUUUGGGAAACGAGGAAAGUUGAGUCCAAGGUUUAUUGGACCGUUCAAAGUUCUUCAGAAGAUAGGGAACCAAGCUUACAAGCUGGAAUUGCCCGAAGAACUCAAUGGUAUUCAUAACACCUUCCAUGUGUGUUAUUUGAGGAAAUUCACGGGAGAUGUUCCCGACAUAAUUCCAAUCUCAGAGUUAAGGAUGGAUGAAAAUAAAAGGUUGAUCGAAGAGCCUGAGGCAAUUGUUGACCGUAAGACUAAGAAGUUACGACGCAAGAUGGUCGACUUGGUGCUAGUCCGAUGGAAACAUUCGAAUGGGCCGAAUCUCACUUGGGAAACAGAGGAUGACAUGAUGAGUCGCUAUCCACAUCUGUUUGCUGAUGCAUGAUUCCGGGACGGAAUCAUCCUAAGGGGGAGAGAAUUGUAACGCCCGGGUUUCAGGGCUAAGCAUUUUUGUCAAUGUAAUAGUCUAGGUCAACUCUUGUAACUCUUUUUGAAGUAAUAAAGAUGAAAUAUUUGAGUAUUAUGUGAAUUAUAUGUGUUUAUUAUUUAAUUAUAAAUGUAUAAUUAAUAAAGAAUAAAAAUGAGCGUCAAAAUUAAAGUGUGAGAUAAUCCCGAUAUCUCUACAUAAAGUUGUAGAAUAUGUCUCAAGGUUUCCGUGCAUAUAAGGAACGCCGAAAUCCGAGUUAUAACGAAGAAGUUAUGACCCGUCGAAGUUUCACGACAGAACCGGCACGAUACCGGGAAGCGUGAAUAGUGAAUUUACGAUAGAGCGAGAUUUAGCCUUAGUGAUCUAAACGAAAGUCGUAGAAUAUGUUAAACUAAGAACAUCGAUAAAAAGAACGCCCAAAUCUGACUUCGUAUGAAGAAGUUAUGAGAUUUUAAACAGACCAAUCCUGUCCCGGCUUGUUAAAAAUAUAACUUUAAAAAUAAAGUCAAAAUUAGCCGACGGAGUCUAAACGAAAGUUGUAGAGUACGUCUUCACCUACGCGUGGAUAUAAAGAACGUCAAAAACGGAGUUCGUAUGAACGAGUUACAAAUUAUAAUAGCAUAUUUACGUAUUAAAAUAAAGUAUAAAUCAUGUAUACGUACACAUAUAUAUACAUAUGUAUAUAUCAUUAGAAAGGUAUCGACGAUGCGGUCAUUAUAAGACUAAUGUUGAGUUCUUUCGACAUUAGUUUAGUACAAAUAUCAUUAAAUCCAUUUAUAAUAGUAUUAUAGAGGGGUGUUUAGUUGUUUAUAUAACUAAAAGGUCAUUAAGUAAUUAUGGAGGGUAGUUUUUGAAAAUUCAAUUAGUAUAAAUAAGAGCCUUGGGCUCUCAUAUUUCUUGCACCAUUCUCUUGAUUCAAGAGUCUUUCUCUCCUUAUCCCCCGAGCAUUUCGGUCCCUCGUGAUUCGACUUCUCUUUCUGUAGCUUAGUAUAGUAAGGUGAGCGCUGAAGCGCUGCACGAAUCUUUCUUAGAAAGAUUCAGCGACGAAGUUCUGCCCCUGCAGAGCCCGACUCCUAGCUAAAACCCCCUUGUAAGUAAGUUAUGCUUACCUUAUUUUAAUAUAGCUUAUAUUUAAAAUUAGUAUUGUUAUUAUGAACUUAUAAUAAAUAUUUGAGCUAUUAUUAUAACUUAUAUAAGUGUCGUUAUAAUAUUUUUUUUAACUACUCGCGGUACGGGGAAUCUGGUUUAAAGGGCCGCAUAGGGUUGUUGGAUUUCAGAAGUGCUAUAUGCCAAAAUGGUCCUGCCCUCCGGUGUUUUAUGUCUGGCCCCUGUCUGUACAUAGUGGUUGGAAAAUAUUGUUUAACGCUUAUAUAAUAAUAAUAAUACUAAGACUAAUAGUUGGUCACGGUAAAUAUUAGACUAAAAUUUAGCGAUAAUAAUGCUAGGUUUCGUCGAAGGAAAAUAGAAUCGUUAGAAGCAAGCGCUGCCCGAUUUUGGAAUCAUCACCUUAACAAGUGAGUGCAUAGUUACUUUCAACUUACACAUAGAUAUGAAGUAUUUUAUAUAAAUUACGUGCUAUGUGUGCAUAUUAUCUGAAUACUUGCUAUCUAUGCUAGAUGAACGUUGUUAUACAUGUUUUCAAUGAUUUAAACUGUAUAUGUAUUUUAUAUCUACGAAAAUGUUGGGGUAAAACAUGGGUAGAUGCAAUAGGUGAUGUGUGAUAAAAUGAUGAGAGGCCUCGAUGUUGAUGUUGUUGAUUCUGUCAUCUAGCGGAGUAUGGAUGACGACCACGGACUCUUCUAGACAGUCCAGUGGAACACUAGCAGGCUCGCAACCUGUAGGUGUUUGUGAACGAUAUGUUCACCGGUGUACUCCAUCCCCCACAUGGUUGCCUUUAGGACAUUUAUUGCUGAGGAAUCCCCUUAGCAGUAGUGUCCGUCCCGAUGAUGAUCCUUAGGCUAGGUCCCUUAUGAUAGGUGUUUAGGGACGUAAAGUGAGGAUAACGGGAACGGGUAAUCGAAUCGGGUUAUUGUUGAUUGAUUAAUAAACUUAUUUAUUGUGGGUUGAAAACCCUAUGUGCUCACCAGGCUCCCAAGCCUGACCCACUCAGUUUUAUGUAUUACAGG